AGUGGUAUUUCUGAAAUGUGGUUGAGAGAACAGCAGCAUCAGACUCCCGGGGGCAGCUUGUUGAAAAUGAAGGCUCCAGGGCCUUACCCGAAGCCUACAUGGGUUUCUUCCUGUCUGGCUGGUACCUACAGAGAAGUACAGCUCAAGACCUGGACAAGAUUCCUGGGUCAUCCUUUCUGUCUCCUUUGGGGCAAGAAGACAAAGCUUUAACUUCUUACCUUGACACUUGCAGAACACAAAGUCAUGGCUGGCCUGUAGUACACUGGCAAAGACAGGAGGACAGAACCACUUACCGAAAGCAAGAGCUGUGCCAGGCUUCGUUGACAGUCCUGUACCGUCUCUGGCUUGGAGCGACAUAGUCCCCACAGCCCCGACACUUCCAGGUAUCUUCACCUGCAUAAAAAACCACGGAGUUUAGAGGCCCAAAGUAGCAGGAGGUACAGGGACGGGAUUCCUAACGUGCAGAAUAAGACUGAGUUAACGGACUUACAAUGAAAGAGCUGGCCAGUGCUCUGAUAAACGCACAAUUCCCUCCUCCACAAGAUCUCUGGUAAGCAUUUAUCCAGCUUGCUCAUCUCCCCAGGGACAGGGAAUUCAUGGCCUCAAAAGUUGAGUCUCACUGCAUUUUUUAGAAAUGGUUCUGAUUGUUCCUUUUUCCACUGAAACAAAACCUGCCUUUUCCUAGAAUUUCAGCCCUUGCUUAUUAUAGCUCUGAGUAGAUGAAAUGAACAAGAUCCCUUUCUUUUCAGGGUCAGCGCUUCCUAUGACUAUUCCCAGACAGCACCCAGAAAAACUUCUCUGGGUUAAACAUGUUAUUGCCUUUUCCUUCUCCUCAAAAGCCCUGUUUGUACAGAUAUUCCAUCACUGCGUCCAGGAGCUCAUUCAUUCAACCAACAUCAUGGGUCCUCUUAUUGGACCCAUGGGUCCUCUCCAAGCUCUAUGUUGGAGACUGCUAGAUAACAUCAUCUCUGCUCUUCAAGGAGCAAAUCCACUGAAAAAGAAUCCUUCUUCCACGUUGUUAUUUUUCCCUUAGAUAUUAUUUCAGAGUUAGA
This is a long non-coding RNA of Ailuropoda melanoleuca (giant panda), 1052 nucleotides long. RefSeq lists it as uncharacterized. The record is from RefSeq and is a predicted model, not a curated record. NCBI's taxonomy places the organism in Eukaryota, Metazoa, Chordata, Mammalia, Carnivora, Ursidae. The transcript is spliced from 3 exons.